RNAcentral lists this ribosomal RNA (66 nucleotides) under Oreochromis aureus x Oreochromis niloticus. RNAcentral describes it as "partial 5.8S ribosomal RNA". It matches the Rfam family "5.8S ribosomal RNA", at positions 2 to 67 of the family's 154-position model. From Rfam's summary of the family: 5.8S ribosomal RNA (5.8S rRNA) is a component of the large subunit of the eukaryotic ribosome. It is transcribed by RNA polymerase I as part of the 45S precursor that also contains 18S and 28S rRNA. The record is from RNAcentral. Lineage: Eukaryota; Metazoa; Chordata; Actinopteri; Cichliformes; Cichlidae.
ACUCUUAGCAGUGGAUCACUCGGCUCGUGCGUCAAUGAAGAACGCAGCUAGCUGCGAGAACUAAUG